Molecule: ribosomal RNA, 253 nt
Filed under: uncultured bacterium
Lineage: Bacteria
Description: partial 16S ribosomal RNA
Rfam family: Archaeal small subunit ribosomal RNA
Source: RNAcentral
UACCAGCACCCCGAGUGGUCGGGACGAUUAUUGGGCCUAAAGCAUCCGUAGCCGGUUCUGCAAGUCUUCCGUUAAAUCCAGCUGCUUAACAGUUGGGCUGCGGAGGAUACUAUAGAGCUAGGAGGCGGGAGAGGCAAGCGGUACUUAGUGGGUAGGGGUAAAAUCCGUUGAUCCAUUGAAGACCACCAGUGGCGAAGGCGGCUUGCCAGAACGCACUCGACGGUGAGGGAUGAAAGCUGGGGGAGCAAACCGG